AAUGAUGCUUAGAUUAAGAGGAGUAAUACUGGUAAAAAGCAAAAAGAGAGAAAAUCCAUUGGCUGAAAGAUUUUCCUUAAAACAGUAUGAAGGUAGCUUAGGAGCAGAAAAGUUUUUUCCGAGUUGCACUCGUUAAAGUGCUUUUAAGUGACAGUACUAUUGUGCUGUAAUCUAGGUGGUACCGCGAGAUAUUCGUCCUAAAG
This 203-nucleotide non-coding RNA is filed under the name Enterococcus sp. RNAcentral's name for it is "T-box sequence". It matches the Rfam family "T-box leader". Rfam says of the family: Uncharged tRNA acts as the effector for transcription antitermination of genes in the T-box leader family. T-boxes are found upstream of many aminoacyl-tRNA synthetase genes and some amino acid biosynthetic genes usually in Gram-positive bacteria. The record is from RNAcentral. Lineage: Bacteria; Bacillati; Bacillota; Bacilli; Lactobacillales; Enterococcaceae.